Molecule: transfer RNA, 67 nt
Filed under: Marmota monax (woodchuck)
Lineage: Eukaryota; Metazoa; Chordata; Mammalia; Rodentia; Sciuridae
Description: tRNA.Ala
Source: RNAcentral
GGUAGUGGCUCAGCGGUAGAGCCUUCGCCUAGCACUUCUGAGGCCCUGGGUUCGAUCCUCAGCACCA